GCGGGUGUCGUACAAUGGUAGUACGUGGGCUUCCCAAGCCCGAGACGUGGGUUCGAUUCCCAUCACCCGCUCCA
RNAcentral lists this transfer RNA (74 nucleotides) under Verrucomicrobiales bacterium. RNAcentral describes it as "tRNA-Gly". It matches the Rfam family "tRNA". Rfam says of the family: Transfer RNA (tRNA) molecules are approximately 80 nucleotides in length. Their secondary structure includes four short double-helical elements and three loops (D, anti-codon, and T loops). The record is from RNAcentral. Lineage: Bacteria; Pseudomonadati; Verrucomicrobiota; Verrucomicrobiia; Verrucomicrobiales.